CUUGGUGGAUCGUUUCUACGGUCAUCAGAACAUGCAGCCGGCUCCUCCCUGUCAAGUGUUUGCCUGUAGUCUACACCAAGGAGUGUUCCGUGCUUGGUGUUUGAAGCCUGGUACAGUUUUCCUGCUUUGUCAACACAUACAAAGAGCAGCCAGAGAGCCAUCUUUGGGUCAGAUAUGGGGUAAUUGUUGCACGAAAUUAACUAUUGCUUGGGAUGGCUAGAAAAUAAAUAUGCAUCAUGGCUGCGCCUGCUUCUAAGCAAGGUUCUUCCCUGCAAGUCUUCGUGGAGAGCUGGUCAUCUGUCCCUUCUGCUUUAAACCUACUAAUGGAAGGCUUUUCUCCUCCCUGCGGACACUGACAGAGAAUUUUCACCGAUUCUUCUGAGGUCUACUUUUGUAGGAAGGAAAUGUCGGUGCAGAAUAGCAAUUACAUAGACCCA
Molecule: long non-coding RNA, 437 nt
Filed under: Rattus norvegicus (Norway rat)
Lineage: Eukaryota; Metazoa; Chordata; Mammalia; Rodentia; Muridae
Description: long non-coding RNA NONRATT031752
Source: RNAcentral